RNAcentral lists this ribosomal RNA (452 nucleotides) under uncultured Bradyrhizobiaceae bacterium. RNAcentral's name for it is "bacterial SSU rRNA". It matches the Rfam family "Bacterial small subunit ribosomal RNA", at positions 91 to 578 of the family's 1533-position model. The record is from RNAcentral. Lineage: Bacteria; Pseudomonadati; Pseudomonadota; Alphaproteobacteria; Hyphomicrobiales; Nitrobacteraceae.
GUCAGUGGCAGACGGGUGAGUAACGCGUGGGAACGUACCUUUUGGUUCGGAACAACACAGGGAAACUUGUGCUAAUACCGGAUAAGCCCUUACGGGGAAAGAUUUAUCGCCGAAAGAUCGGCCCGCGUCUGAUUAGCUAGUUGGUGGGGUAAUGGCUCACCAAGGCGACGAUCAGUAGCUGGUCUGAGAGGAUGAUCAGCCACAUUGGGACUGAGACACGGCCCAAACUCCUACGGGAGGCAGCAGUGGGGAAUAUUGGACAAUGGGCGAAAGCCUGAUCCAGCCAUGCCGCGUGAGUGAUGAAGGCCCUAGGGUUGUAAAGCUCUUUUGUGCGGGAAGAUAAUGACGGUACCGCAAGAAUAAGCCCCGGCUAACUUCGUGCCAGCAGCCGCGGUAAUACGAAGGGGGCUAGCGUUGCUCGGAAUCACUGGGCGUAAAGGGUGCGUAGGCGG